GGUAGCAUUCCUCACGGGCGUCGGGCCGCACGGGUGCGGCGCCGAGCGUCGUUCGGUCUGGGCGCGAUUAGCGCCAGUUUCGGGCAAAUAGGGAUCGAGGACCCCGUGCCCCCAACGUUUUCAGCAUCCCCGAAGUCGGGCGAGCGUUCGCGCGCCGCAACGAGAGCGCCACGCGCAACCGAAGCGGAACACGAACGACGCCUUGGGUUCACCCGGAGCCGCGCCGUGCGAACGGGCAGCACCGAGACGAACAGUGUUACUUGGGACGAACGAAUACCAUCAACGUAGGUACGAAACACAGGAAACCGAACACGCGGACGAGGCUAAAGUCGCUCUCGCACCGACGAC
Molecule: unclassified non-coding RNA, 348 nt
Filed under: Cruckshanksia verticillata
Lineage: Eukaryota; Viridiplantae; Streptophyta; Magnoliopsida; Gentianales; Rubiaceae
Description: partial external transcribed spacer
Source: RNAcentral